This is a long non-coding RNA of Triplophysa rosa, 422 nucleotides long. RefSeq lists it as uncharacterized. The record is from RefSeq and is a predicted model, not a curated record. The transcript is spliced from 3 exons. Lineage: Eukaryota; Metazoa; Chordata; Actinopteri; Cypriniformes; Nemacheilidae.
GAUUUGCCGGGCUCUCAAUGAGGAGCCCCUCCAUGCUGAGAGAAUCUGGCCAGCUUACGGACACCUGGUCAUUAACAUUGCUAAUUAGCGCCCAUUAAUCAGAAGUGGGAUAAAAGUGGUUCCCAUCAGCUCAAGAUGAGCCGGAUUAGACGGAGGGUUAAACAACAGGCUGCGCCGAGCGCUAUCGGGGAUAGGAAUGGGAUGGGCUUCCAGUCACUGGCAAAGAAUUGCUCCAAAAGUGAGUUUUGAUGGCAAAGUCGGACAUCAUCCACUACAGAAGACACUAGUACAUCACCCUUGACUGGAAAAUGAAAAGUAAAACAUCUGUAAAAACAGAGAAUGUCCUAAUGUGAAGCGAUUUACAAUUAUUCUGUAAACUGAUCAUUUUGAAAUCCCUGAACUUUGUCAAUACUCAACAGGUG